UUACAGCUAAUGCACUAAUUAAAGGAUUCCAACACCCUUUUAUAUAUUGUCCCAAAUGGUGGUGCAUAUGUCAAAGCUUUGAUGUUUAAAUUAGAGCUACUUAUGAAGGAUAAAGGACUCAAAACAAUCUAGGCAUUGAAAUAGAGAUUUAACAUACAUUGCAUGUUUUCUAAUAGAUAAGAAGACUCAAAAUAAUUAGAUUGGAAGUACCUAAAAUCUACGAUUAGAUUUUAGUCAUCAAUCGUAACAUCAUUUUGAUUGAUUAUAGAAUCAAUUAAAUUAGUCUUCGGCUUCAAAAAUGUAUGCAACCAUAGGAAAAUGGAAGUGGUAUCUCAGGACUAACUGUCAGUUUGUAUCUCUUAGUUGGUUCGACUUGGUUAAUUUUG
This 386-nucleotide unclassified non-coding RNA is filed under the name Hevea brasiliensis (rubber tree). Lineage: Eukaryota; Viridiplantae; Streptophyta; Magnoliopsida; Malpighiales; Euphorbiaceae. The record is from RNAcentral.